CCCGCUUAGCACCUGCUCCAUUGCAUCUAUUUACUUAUAUCGCCGACAAGACCCCGAUUAGGCUCGGGAUUUCCCCCGACCAAGGUCGGAAUACUCUUCUGAGUCGACCAUAGGCCAGGGGCCUAUCAACCCCGCGCACGCUUUCCCCAUUCGUGAUUUCCAUUUUAGCCUAUACAGACCCCUCCAAAUGAGGACUCAGCCAAGCCCAAACAUCGAAAAGUUGACGCCAGUCCGCAGUGACGA
RNAcentral lists this long non-coding RNA (243 nucleotides) under Phoenix dactylifera (date palm). Its description in RNAcentral is "long non-coding RNA (PDAC_LNC005879)". Lineage: Eukaryota; Viridiplantae; Streptophyta; Magnoliopsida; Arecales; Arecaceae. The record is from RNAcentral.